CGUGUAGGCGGUCAGGUAAGUGGAAUGUGAAAUGCCCCGGCUCACCCGGGGACCGGCAUCCCAAACUGCCUGGCUUGAGUAUGGGAGAGGAUGGAGGAAUUCCCGGUGUAGCGGUGAAAUGCGUAGAUAUCAGGAGGAACACCGGUGGCGAAGGCGUCCAUCUGGCCCAAUACUGACGCUGAGGCGCGAAAGCUAGGGGAGCAAACG
RNAcentral lists this ribosomal RNA (207 nucleotides) under uncultured Latescibacterota bacterium. Its description in RNAcentral is "uncultured Latescibacteria bacterium partial 16S ribosomal RNA". It matches the Rfam family "Bacterial small subunit ribosomal RNA", at positions 568 to 774 of the family's 1533-position model. Lineage: Bacteria; Pseudomonadati; Candidatus Latescibacterota. The record is from RNAcentral.